CCUACGGGUGGCAGCAGUGAGGAAUAUUUGUCAAUGGGCUUACGCCUGAACCAGCCAAGUCGCGUGAGGGAAGACUGCCCUAUGGGUUGUAAACCUCUUUUGUCAGGGAGCAACGCCGGCUACGUGUAGCCGGACUGAGAGUACCUGAAGAAAAAGCAUCGGCUAACUCCGUACCAGCAGCCGCGGUAAUACGGGGGAUGCUAGCGGUAUCCGGAUUGAUUGGGUUUAAAGGGUGCGUAGGUGGAAUGCCAAGUCAGCGGUAAAAUCGCGGGGCUCAACCUCGCUCCGCAGUUGAAACUGGCGUACUUGAGUGGGCGAGAGGGAUGCGGAAUGAGCGGUGUAGCGGUGAAAUGCAUAGAUAUCACGAAGAACACCGAUUGCGAAGGCAGCAUACCGGCGCCCAACUGACGCUGAAGCACGAAAGCGUGGGUAUCGAACAGGAGUAGAUACCCGAGUAGUC
Molecule: ribosomal RNA, 460 nt
Filed under: uncultured bacterium
Lineage: Bacteria
Description: partial 16S ribosomal RNA
Rfam family: Bacterial small subunit ribosomal RNA
Source: RNAcentral